UGGGGGUUAUUGCACAAUGGGCGAAAGCCUGAUGCAGCGACGCCGCGUGGGGGAUGAAGGCUUUCGGGUUGUAAACCUCUUUCGCUAUCGAACAAGGCCCGCUUAGGGUGGGUUGAGGGUAGGUGGAGAAGAAGCGCCGGCUAACUACGUGCCAGCAGCCGCGGUAAUACGUAGGGCGCGAGCGUUGUCCGGAAUUAUUGGGCGUAAAGGGCUUGUAGGCGGCUUGUUGCUCCUGCUGUGAAAACGCGGGGCUUAACUUCGCGCGUGCAGUGGGUACGGGCAGGCUUGAGUGUGGUAGGGGUGACUGGAAUUCCAGGUGUAGCGGUGGAAUGCGCAGAUAUCUGGAGGAACCCCGAUGGCGAAGGCAGGUCACUGGGCCAUUACUGACGCUGAGGAGCGAAAGCAUGGGUAGCGAACAGG
RNAcentral lists this ribosomal RNA (420 nucleotides) under bacterium. RNAcentral describes it as "partial 16S ribosomal RNA". It matches the Rfam family "Bacterial small subunit ribosomal RNA", at positions 355 to 776 of the family's 1533-position model. The record is from RNAcentral.